CGCGACCCAAAGCAUUUCUCCCCCGGACCCCCUACCCUCAUUUUUGUGGGAUUCAACUUACGUCAGGGCCCCUAACCUCUCCACUAACUCCGGGGGCGCCCCCUGGCGGGAAGGAGUCUGGGGCCUCGGAACAGGCGAGAGAGAGGAUGGUGGUGAUCCCACUACAUUCUGGACCGACACGGGAAGCCCCCUACUAAGCUUCCCUUAAAAGGGAGAGGGACACUCGCGGACUCGCUCUGGGGCGCGGGCAGCUCGAAGGAAAGUUUUGCAGUUGCUGCGGAGACUUGAGACCAGAAAGACAUUUGGGAAGGAUCCUCGUGGCGGCACCGCUGAUUCGCCCCCAGGCUCGUUUCAGAGGCUGGCUAUACAGAACAAGUUGAAAAAUACUCCUUCAUCUUCAGUUUUCCAGAAGAAUUUGUGAAGAACUUGUAUGUCAUCCUCAAAUGCUUGAAUGUUUGGUAGACAUCACCAGUGAAGUCAUCUGGCCUGAACUUCCUUUGUGGAAAGAUUAUACAUGUGUAUUAUGAAAACAGAUAUUCGAAUUACCUAUUUCUUCCUGAAUGAUCUUUGUUUGGUAGUUUGUGUCUUUCAGUGAAUGUAUCCAUUUCAUAUAAGUUGCUUAAGUAAAAUUAUUCAUAUAAGCUA
Molecule: long non-coding RNA, 645 nt
Organism: Cervus elaphus (red deer)
Lineage: Eukaryota; Metazoa; Chordata; Mammalia; Artiodactyla; Cervidae
Exons: 4
Source: RefSeq, a predicted model, not a curated record